ACCUUCUCCACCGAGGAUGCCAUCAUUACUUUUGCGGAGUAAACUGUUCCCUCACAGCGUCCCCCUCUAUUAAGUUGAAUCUCUUUUUUGUAAUUUCAGAAUAUUGCUUCUUUGAAGUGAGGGAAGGAAGUGGUGGAGGGAAGGUGUUUUUUCAUAGUGGUGUUUAAUAGAUAAAAUAAAGGACGCUGAGGACUGUAUUUCAGUCAGGGGUUGUAUUCGGUGAUAUUGGCUGCAAAAGUCCAACUUGUUCUAUCUUUUAAUUGAAAGGAGGAAGCUCUUUCAGUUUAUUGAGAAGGUCUUGGGGUGUCUAGUGUUCUUGAGAGAAGAGUUGAACAGCUGACCUGCAGGCAGGGUAGUAGCAUCUGGGUCUCACAGCUGAAAUGCCCCCAAAGUGCCCGUCGCCACCGUGUCUGCAUUCUUCCCUUCUAGGCAGAACUGCUUCUCAGAGUUCUUCCAAAAGAUGUCAGAAAAUCACCCACUGGCUUAUCCUGAGCUGGCUCUAGGGAGCUGGGAUCAUGCUGGAAUGAUGGCAGCUCCAGUUGAAGUUCGUGGUUGGAGCAGAAGGAAUAAUUCCUGGAUGACAGCAGGUCGUCUUCCCAGAAGGCAGUGAGUCGCACAGACAGAAGAGCCAUCUUGAAGUAGAAGUUGUCAUUUCAGUUUGUAGAAUGCAGUCUGAAGCCUCUCUUUACCACAGGGUACUGGGGGCCCCUCACGAAAUGCCUCUCUGCCCAUCUUUCAUUCGGCCUUGUUUCCUCCUCCCCACAGUACCCUCCCACCUGCCAUUCCAGAUGGCUGAGCCCACACAGGCCCUAGCAUCUCCCUCUGCCUCUGCCCACAGGGGAGACCUGGCCCCUUCCCACCUCCACCCGCAUCUCCUCAUGCCCCGCAGCACCUGCCUGGGGCACUUAUGGGGGUGCUUCUGGGGGUCAGAAUGUGUGUGUUCUCCUCCCCCCAGACACUCAGCGAUCCUGUUCCACCCAUCCUUGGUCCCCAGGGCCUGGCACACAGAAAGCACAGAAAUCAGUAUUUGCCUAGUAGUUGGAGGACCUCAUGACCAAUGCCUCAUAAUGGUGUUCAGGGCUCUGAGCCACUCGAGGACUUAGACGCAACACCAGCAGAGUCUCUGACACAGGACGGGCCCUGGGUGAACAGGUGUUAUCGCAUCGACAGCAAAAGCAAGACUGUCCCAAGGGGAAAGUGAAGCCGGAGUCACAGGGAGCAUUUAAAGAGGCAGACCUUUUCUCCCCGAGAAAAGAAUUCAUCGGAAAACGAUACUCACUUGCUGUUGCACUGGGUCUGGGAGUCCCAGGCCAUGGUUGUUUCUCCGUCUGUGAGUUGGUUUGGCUUGCACUGGCUGGUUUGGAGUUCGCGGUGAUGUUCUUUCUUCCGGGGGCCCUGCUUGGUCCUCACCUCUCUCUCUGCACCUUGCCUGCUCCAGCACGGUAGUCACAGCCCAGCUCAAAGGUUAGCAGCUGUUUCUCCAUAGACAUCUUUGCAAACAAAGAACAUCAAAGCUAGAGGCCUUUGUGCACACAGUCAGCACUUUGGCCUUCUGUCAGAAUAAGGUGAAUUUAAACGACCCCAGAAUUC
Molecule: long non-coding RNA, 1590 nt
Filed under: Piliocolobus tephrosceles (Ugandan red Colobus)
Lineage: Eukaryota; Metazoa; Chordata; Mammalia; Primates; Cercopithecidae
Description: lncRNA (ENSPTEG00000032381.1)
Source: RNAcentral